RNAcentral lists this ribosomal RNA (305 nucleotides) under uncultured bacterium. RNAcentral describes it as "bacterial SSU rRNA". It matches the Rfam family "Bacterial small subunit ribosomal RNA", at positions 330 to 636 of the family's 1533-position model. The record is from RNAcentral.
UCCAGCCUACGGGACGCAGCAGUGAGGAAUAUUGGUCAAUGGCCGAGAGGCUGAACCAGCCAAGUCGCGUGAGGGAUGACGGCCCUACGGGUUGUAAACCUCUUUUGCCGGGGAGCAAAGAGCGGGACGCGUCCCGCCUCGAGAGUACCCGGAGAAAAAGCAUCGGCUAACUCCGUGCCAGCAGCCGCGGUAAUACGGAGGAUGCGAGCGUUAUCCGGAUUUAUUGGGUUUAAAGGGUGCGUAGGCGGAGCGUUAAGUCAGUGGUCAAAUUGAGGGGCUCAACCCCUUCCCGCCAUUGAAGCUGG